This 74-nucleotide transfer RNA is filed under the name Chryseobacterium shigense. Its description in RNAcentral is "tRNA-Arg". It matches the Rfam family "tRNA". Rfam says of the family: Transfer RNA (tRNA) molecules are approximately 80 nucleotides in length. Their secondary structure includes four short double-helical elements and three loops (D, anti-codon, and T loops). Lineage: Bacteria; Pseudomonadati; Bacteroidota; Flavobacteriia; Flavobacteriales; Weeksellaceae. The record is from RNAcentral.
GGCUUCGUAACUCAAUUGGAUAGAGUAACGGUUUUCUAAACCGUAGGUUACAGGUUCGAAUCCUGUCGGAGUCA